Molecule: ribosomal RNA, 229 nt
Filed under: uncultured bacterium
Lineage: Bacteria
Description: partial 16S ribosomal RNA
Rfam family: Bacterial small subunit ribosomal RNA
Source: RNAcentral
UCCGUAGGUGGAUAAUUAAGUCAGGGGUGAAAGUCUGCAGCUCAACUGUAGAAUUGCCCUUGAUACUGGUUGUCUUGAGUCAUUAUGAAGUAGUUAGAAUAUGUAGUGUAGCGGUGAAAUGCAUAGAUAUUACAUAGAAUACCAAUUGCGAAGGCAGAUUACUAAUAAUCAACUGACACUGAUGGACGAAAGCGUGGGGAGCGAACAGGAUUAGAUACCCUGGUAGUCC